GCCUAGUUAGCUUGGUUGGUAGCGCGUCUGCCUUGUAAGCACCAGGCCGCGGGUUCGACUCCCGCCCAAGGCG
This 73-nucleotide transfer RNA is filed under the name Diaphorina citri (Asian citrus psyllid). It matches the Rfam family "tRNA". Rfam says of the family: Transfer RNA (tRNA) molecules are approximately 80 nucleotides in length. Their secondary structure includes four short double-helical elements and three loops (D, anti-codon, and T loops). Further hydrogen bonds mediate the characteristic L-shaped molecular structure. tRNAs have two regions of fundamental functional importance: the anti-codon, which is responsible for specific mRNA codon recognition, and the 3' end, to which the tRNAs corresponding amino acid is attached (by aminoacyl-tRNA synthetases). tRNAs cope with the degeneracy of the genetic code in two manners: having more than one tRNA (with a specific anti-codon) for a particular amino acid; and 'wobble' base-pairing, i.e. permitting non-standard base-pairing at the 3rd anti-codon position. The record is from Rfam by way of RNAcentral. Lineage: Eukaryota; Metazoa; Arthropoda; Insecta; Hemiptera; Psyllidae.